AUACGGAGGGUGCAAGCGUUGUGCGGAUUUAUUGGGUUUAAAGGGUGUGUAGGCGGUGUAUUAAGUCAGUGGUGAAAGCCUGCGGCUCAACCGUAGAACUGCCAUUGAUACUGACACACUUGAGUAUGGACGAGGUAGGCGGAAUUUAUGGUGUAGCGGUGAAAUGCAUAGAUACCAUAAAGAACACCGAUAGCGAAGGCAGCUUACUAGGCCAUAACUGACGCUGAGGCACGAAAGCGUGGGGAGCGAACAGGAGUAGAUACCCUAGUAGUCC
This 274-nucleotide ribosomal RNA is filed under the name uncultured bacterium. RNAcentral describes it as "partial 16S ribosomal RNA". It matches the Rfam family "Bacterial small subunit ribosomal RNA", at positions 523 to 796 of the family's 1533-position model. The record is from RNAcentral.